RNAcentral lists this ribosomal RNA (239 nucleotides) under Escherichia coli. RNAcentral describes it as "partial 16S ribosomal RNA". It matches the Rfam family "Bacterial small subunit ribosomal RNA", at positions 1 to 236 of the family's 1533-position model. The record is from RNAcentral. Lineage: Bacteria; Pseudomonadati; Pseudomonadota; Gammaproteobacteria; Enterobacterales; Enterobacteriaceae.
AAAUUGAAGAGUUUGAUCAUGGCUCAGAUUGAACGCUGGCGGCAGGCCUAACACAUGCAAGUCGAACGGUAACAGGAAACAGCUUGCUGUUUCGCUGACGAGUGGCGGACGGGUGAGUAAUGUCUGGGAAACUGCCUGAUGGAGGGGGAUAACUACUGGAAACGGUAGCUAAUACCGCAUAACGUCGCAAGACCAAAGAGGGGGACCCUCGGGCCUCUUGCCAUCGGAUGUGCCCAGAU